GAUGAACGCUGGCGGCGUGCUUAACACAUGCAAGUCGAACGAAGCACUCUAUUUGAUUUUCUUCGGAAAUGAAUAUUUUGUGACUGAGUGGCGGACGGGUGAGUAACGCGUGGGUAACCUGCCUCAUACAGGGGGAUAACAGUUGGAAACGACUGCUAAUACCGCAUAAGCGCACAGGAUUGCAUGAUCCGGUGUGAAAAACUCCGGUGGUAUGAGAUGGACCCGCGUCUGAUUAGCUAGUUGGCAGGGUAACGGCCUACCAAAGCGACGAUCAGUAGCCGACCUGAGAGGGUGACCGGCCACAUUGGGACUGAGACACGGCCCAAACUCCUACGGGAGGCAGCAGUGGGGAAUAUUGCACAAUGGGGGAAACCCUGAUGCAGCGACGCCGCGUGAGCGAAGAAGUAUUUCGGUAUGUAAAGCUCUAUCAGCAGGGAAGAAGAAUGACGGUACCUGACUAAGAAGCACCGGCUAAAUACGUGCCAGCAGCCGCGGUAAUACGUAUGGUGCAAGCGUUAUCCGGAUUUACUGGGUGUAAAGGGAGCGCAGGCGGUGCGGCAAGUCUGAUGUGAAAGCCCGGGGCUCAACCCCGGUACUGCAUUGGAAACUGUCGUACUAGAGUGUCGGAGGGGUAAGUGGAAUUCCUAGUGUAGCGGUGAAAUGCGUAGAUAUUAGGAGGAACACCAGUGGCGAAGGCGGCUUACUGGACGAUAACUGACGCUGAGGCUCGAAAGCGUGGGGAGCAAACAGGAUUAGAUACCCUGGUAGUCCACGCCGUAAACGA
This 784-nucleotide ribosomal RNA is filed under the name uncultured bacterium. RNAcentral's name for it is "bacterial SSU rRNA". It matches the Rfam family "Bacterial small subunit ribosomal RNA", at positions 28 to 809 of the family's 1533-position model. The record is from RNAcentral.